UUUAAUUAUCAUAUAUAAAAGUGAAAAUACUACAAAUAUAAAUUAAUUUUAGUUGGGGCAACUGGGAGGGAUAAAAAUCUUUUAUUCAAUCAUUUAUAGUAAUAUUUAUAUUUAUGAUCCAAAUUAGUUAAUUUUGAAUUUAGAAU
RNAcentral lists this ribosomal RNA (146 nucleotides) under Ledella ultima. Its description in RNAcentral is "partial small subunit ribosomal RNA". The record is from RNAcentral. Lineage: Eukaryota; Metazoa; Mollusca; Bivalvia; Nuculanida sp.; Nuculanidae.